RNAcentral lists this ribosomal RNA (411 nucleotides) under Verrucomicrobiota bacterium. Its description in RNAcentral is "Verrucomicrobia bacterium partial 16S ribosomal RNA". It matches the Rfam family "Bacterial small subunit ribosomal RNA", at positions 355 to 776 of the family's 1533-position model. The record is from RNAcentral. Lineage: Bacteria; Pseudomonadati; Verrucomicrobiota.
UGGGGAAUCUUGCGCAAUGGGGGAAACCCUGACGCAGCGACGCCGCGUGCGGGAUGAAGGCCUUCGGGUUGUAAACCGCUUUCAGCAGGGACGAGGCCUUAUGGUGACGGUACCUGCAGAAGAAGCUCCGGCUAAAUACGUGCCAGCAGCCGCGGUAAUACGUAUGGAGCAAGCGUUAUCCGGAUUCAUUGGGCGUAAAGAGCUUGUAGGCGGUUCGUCGCGUCUGGUGUGAAAGCCCAUCGCUUAACGGUGGGUUUGCGCCGGGUACGGGCGGGCUAGAGUGCAGUAGGGGAGACUGGAAUUCCCGGUGUAACGGUGGAAUGUGUAGAUAUCGGGAAGAACACCAAUGGCGAAGGCAGGUCUCUGGGCUGUUACUGACGCUGAGAAGCGAAAGCGUGGGGAGCGAACAGG